GGCUGUAAAGACACGAGCGGGCGUGCGAGUGUCUCCUGUGGCUGCAAGAGAAAGUCAUUAGGAGCUUUGAAGAUGAAUGUACAGCAUCAUCGGCGAGGGACUUGUGUGGCUCCGCGAGGACACAAAGUUAGCAGUGAUCCUUCCAAGAUGACCGAGUAUUUACAGUGGUGACAGAUUGCUCACUGGCCAAGCUCUCUCCUGAACUAAGGUGCUAAGUGAGGCACUGAGGGACCCAGCACGAAUGUCUAACAGCCUGGUGUAAAACUGACUGAACCGAGAGGAAUGGAGGAGUGAUGGAAAGAGAAUCUGCUCUGACCUAAUGCUGCUGAAAUCACUGAGUGGAAAAAAAAGAACAACAAAAUCUGUGGACCAUCCAUGAUCCCAGUUAUUAGACAAUGGAGUGACUCUGGGAUCAGAGGAGGAGAUGUGAUGCUCUGGCUGGAGCUCCACAGGCCACAGAGAUGACACAUGGAUAAACACCAUGCCAGCGACAUGAUGACAUGAUGGGGCCUUAAUGAUAGUUCUUAGCACCUCAUUCUCAUCAGGGCUGUCAAGUCACAAAGGUUGACUUUGACUCCCUGUUGGAGCUCAGUCUGGGGGGAGUUAUUUUUUUCUCCUUAUCUUUCCUCGUGUGGUGCAUUUUUCCAUUGUUAUACCUCUCUGACCUGUCUUCCCCAUGUGAUGUUUUUGUGUAAUGUAUGUAUAGUCAGAGGGUAAGAUGGCGCCGCCAUUGCGUGCAAUAGGUCGGCAGCCUAAUGAAAUUUCCCCUUGUGGGACUAAUACAGGUAUAUCAAAUCAAAUCAAUUCAAAAUCAAAAGUUCAUUUUUUGUUUUUCCAUAAUGCUUCUUCUUCUACAAUAAUUAUAGGAUUUGGAGGUGGUAGUUGUUGUGUUAGUUUUUUUUGCAGCUUUUGUUUAUUAAAUUAUAAUAUAUGAAAUUCUAAUGUAUAGUGUACCUUUGCGAUCUGCAGUGAAAUAAACAAAAUCUUUCCUAAAACUUAAUCUUAAAUGCAUAUUGUGAUUUUUUUUAAGAUAAAUUUUGCAGUUCUUGACACUGUAUUCGGAAGAUUUUCUGCAUGUCUUCUUCUGUAACUUUCACUCCUCUGUCCAGUGAACCACAACCCUCUCACUCUUGACAAUAAAGGUGUAUUUUGCCUCUUU
Molecule: long non-coding RNA, 1159 nt
Organism: Astatotilapia calliptera (eastern happy)
Lineage: Eukaryota; Metazoa; Chordata; Actinopteri; Cichliformes; Cichlidae
Source: Ensembl